Molecule: unclassified non-coding RNA, 675 nt
Filed under: Limulus polyphemus (Atlantic horseshoe crab)
Lineage: Eukaryota; Metazoa; Arthropoda; Merostomata; Xiphosura; Limulidae
Description: rhodopsin, GQ-coupled-like, transcript variant X1
Source: RNAcentral
CUAGAUAUUUGUGACUCUAAAGUUCUUUACUAGAUACACUGAUCGAGUAAAUUCUUGCCAACUAACUACCUUCUAAUAAAAAUGUGAAUGUCACCUCAAGAGCAGCUGGACUUGACCCAGUGGUUAGCGUGUCCAAAGGUUCAGGCUGAGAUAUCACCGAAGAAGUGGGUGCCAGUCAAUCCUGUUAUUGGGUUCAAAGUUGCCCUUAGUAGGUGUUGCUAAGUGACUGCCUUUUAUCUUGCCAGUAGUUCAGAAUUGGGGGGCUACAAUACCUAAACCCCAAGGAUCUAUGACCCGGCCGUUUAGUCCCCGUGUGCAUAAGAUGACGUUCAUAUUGAAGAUACAAGUGAAUGUCAUUUCUGGCUUUAUAAUCACUACUCUGGCAGUCUGCAAAUUUGGUAUUUCAGAUUCGUUGUGUGUUUCUCAAAUCUACGAUAAAAUAAAUGAUUUUUUAUGUAUAUUUGUUUGAAGUGGUUAUUAUAGAAAAACCGAACUAGCAUUGGUAAUUACAAUUAAGUUUGUAAAAAAGGUAUUAUUGUAUCAUAAAUUGUAUGCAUGUAAUUGACCGGAACUGAUUACAGAAGCAAUUUAAUUGUCAUAUAACUCAAUUUUUUUUCUUCUACAACGAAACUGAAACACAUACCUAUGAACACGUGUUAGUUUAUUUCAAAUAAA